Non-coding RNA from Neolamprologus brichardi, 317 nucleotides. NCBI's taxonomy places the organism in Eukaryota, Metazoa, Chordata, Actinopteri, Cichliformes, Cichlidae. The record is from RefSeq and is a predicted model, not a curated record.
UUUCAGUCCGUCUUCAAGAACUUUGACACAGAUGGCGAUGGCAAUAUCUCCAGGGAUGAAUUUGAAGCAAUCAGGAACAACUUUCCAUACCUCAGCAAGUUUGGAGAACUGGACAAGAACCAAGACGGGAAGAUCAGCAGGGAGGAGAUGAUAGACUACUUUAUGAAAGCCAGCUCUCUGCUGAACUGCAAGAUGGGUUUCAUCCACACUUUUACCGAGACCACCUAUGUCAAGCCCACGUUCUGUGAACACUGUGCUGGCUUUAUCUGGGGAUUUUACAAGCAAGGCUACAAAUGUAAAGGUAAGAGAGGAAUUCG